UGCCAGCAGCCGCGGUAAUACGAAGGGGGCGAGCGUUGUUCGGAAUUACUGGGCGUAAAGGGCGCGUAGGCGGUUUAUUAAGCAAGAUGUGAAAGCCCAGGGCUCAACCUUGGAACUGCAUUUUGAACUGGUAGACUAGAGUACUGUAGAGGGUGGUGGAAUUUCCAGUGUAGCGGUGAAAUGCGUAGAGAUUGGAAGGAACAUCAGUGGCGAAGGCGGCCACCUGGACAGAUACUGACGCUGAGGAACGAAAGCGUGGGGAGCGAACAGGAUUAGAUA
This 279-nucleotide ribosomal RNA is filed under the name uncultured bacterium. RNAcentral's name for it is "partial 16S ribosomal RNA". It matches the Rfam family "Bacterial small subunit ribosomal RNA", at positions 506 to 784 of the family's 1533-position model. The record is from RNAcentral.